This 678-nucleotide unclassified non-coding RNA is filed under the name Hevea brasiliensis (rubber tree). The record is from RNAcentral. Lineage: Eukaryota; Viridiplantae; Streptophyta; Magnoliopsida; Malpighiales; Euphorbiaceae.
GCAAUAUGUUUCAUGAUGACGAUACGAGAGUGGUUUGAGAAUGCUUGCAUGUAACCAGGGUGGUAAAACCUCUGGUCCAAAUUUUUUUAGGGUCAUCUGGAUAUAUGUGCAUUUGAAAUGAAAGUGGACUUGAAUUUAUGCCAUCAUAAGCUUGAAGUGAAAAUUCUUAAACAACAACUUUAAUAUAAAAUUCAAAUACUGUUUCAUUUCAAAUUCUCAUCUAUCCAAACACAUCUCAAAAUCAAAUGUAUAUGAAAAUGACUGCAGUUCAAAGCACUAAUAGAAGCAAACACUACUGUACAUUUGUUUGCAACUGUUAACUGCAGGGUGUUCAAAACUUAUAACAUGUAAUUCCAUAUUUGUAUUUUUGAACAUCUCAACCAGGUUGAAGGUAUAUGAACAGUCAGUAAACAAGCUUCAGCAUGAUAUAUUCCAAAUUCUAUGAAGCUAAAACCCAAAGGGCAAUCAAAUUAGACUAAGAUUAUCUUCAGGUAAUUGCAACAGCCAAUUUCGGACUUCAAUUGUGAGAAACUUACAUGAGCAAAUGAGAAAGAUAAUUUGGUAAGUAAUGCUAACCAUACUGUGUACAAAAUUUGCACCUGAAGACAUCAGUAUUUCUAUGAACAGUGCUAAAAAAAUCCUCCUUUUAGUUACAACAGAGGAUCAAAACAUCAUCAG